GAUUCCGUUCACAUUGUUUAUACAUAGGCUUUCAAGGAUCCGUGGUGCCCCACAGUUUCCAAUUCUCUUCCCUUAUCAAAAGAUGGCAAUGAUCUUACCCGCUUUCGUGGGAAGAUACAUGAAGAAACUCGCAGAUUUCGUAGAGGGUGAGGUGUCAAUCAUGCUCGGAGUGAAGGAUGAGCUCCAGAAGCUUCAGAGAAGACUGGAAAGGAUGAGAGGUUUUCUUGAGCAAGCAGAGCGGAAGAGGCAUGAAGACACAAACAUCAGUAAUUGGGUGGGGGAGUUGAAAGAUAUCAUGUAUGAUGCGGAUGAUAUCAUCGACCUUUGUAUCAUCGAAGGCGGCAAAUUAUUGGAAAGCCAUCAGCCCGUUUCUGCGGUAUGCCAUCCCUUCCCUUUAUUUUCUUGCUUCGGUUGUAUGAAGUUCCGCUAUGAAAUUGGUGACAAAAUUAGAGAUCUUAAUAAGAGGCUGAAAGAGAUUGCAGAGGAUAGAUCAAUAUUGCCUAAACUAGAAAACCCUAACCAAGAUGUCCAAGAGAGCGGAGUGAAUGCGCGUCAGACUUUUCCCAUUGAGGCCAAUUCUGAUAUCGUAGGGACACAAAUUGAAGAGGCAACCCAAAGUCUUGUGGAGUCGUUAGUCAAAGAAGAUAAACAAAAAUCCUGGAUUUGGGGGAUUGUUGGGAUGGGUGGAAUCGGCAAAACUACUCUCGCUUCGAAUAUAUACAAUGAUGAAAGUAUAAAAGAAAACUUUCCUAUACGAGUAUGGGUGUGUGUUUCCAAGAAUUUUUCAGACACACAAUUGCUGCAAGAGAUAAUUAGGAGCGCANNNNNNNNNNNNNNNNNNNNNNNNNNNNNNNNNNNNNNNNNNNNNNNNNNNNNNAACUCAUACCCAUUCUUUCCCGUGUCCUUUCUAGAAGGUUCAUUGUUGUAUUAGAUGAUAUAUGGGAAGCAAAAGUAUGGGAGGAUCUGCUCAGAUAUCCUUUGGAAAGUGCAGCGGCUGAUGGUAGGAUUGUGAUCACCAGUCGAGACAUAAAUGUGGCUAAGAAUAUGAGAGCACGUGUCCACCAUGUUGACAAAAUGGAUAGCAAUGAAGGCUGGCAAUUGUUCUGCAAGAAAGUCUUUAGAGAUGACGAGAAGGAAGAGAUCAUCAAUUUAAAAGAAAUUGGGAUGAAAAUUGUUGACAAAUGUGAUGGUCUUCCUCUUGCAAUCAAGACCAUUGCAGGAGUUUUAAGGUCGAAGGAGAGAACCAGCAUAGCAUGGAAUAACGUUCUCAGAAGUGAUGCAUGGUCUAUGAGCCAACUUCAGACAGAACUCCCAGGAGCCUUAUUUUUAAGCUAUGAAGAUUUAUCAUCGGAUCUUAAACAAUGUCUCCUUUUUUGCUCGUUAUAUCCUGAGAAUUUUUCGAUGACUUGUGAUCAACUUGUUCGGUUCUGGUUGGCUGAAGAUUUUGUAAAAUCACAAGGAGAUGUAUUGUUAGAAGAUUUAGCCGAAGAUUACUAUAAAGAGUUGAUUUGCAGAAAUCUUUUACAGCCAGAUUCUAAAUACGUAAGUCAGAGGGUGUGCACAAUGCACGAUCUGCUGCGUUCUCUUGCUCUGUUUUUGAUAGGAGAUGAGAGUACUUUUGUUGGUGAUGGAAAAACAUGCACCACAAACCCCUUGACCAAGCUUCGUCACUUGUCAAUUUCAAAUGUGGGAGAGAGGCUAGAAAUCCCUGAUGCAGUGAAAAAGCAGAAAUGCUUGAGGACUCUAAUAGCCUGGAACAGUCCCAAGACAAAGAUAGUUGAGCAUGAACUUGGAAGACUCGAGCAGCUACGAGUUUUGGACUUGACCGGUACAGGACUGGAGAGCCUUCCAGACUCGGUGGGAAACCUAUUACAUCUAAGGCACUUGAAUCUUGAUCGAACAAAUGUCAAAAAGUUACCAGAGUCUAUCAGACGCCUUCAAAAUCUGCAGAUCUUGAGUCUCUCGGGCUGUCAAUCCUUGCACAUGCUUCCCAAGACUAUCACAACUUUGUCCAAUUUAAGAUGCCUUCGCCUCUAUGAAACUCCGGUGAGCCAUCUCCCAAGAGGAAUAGGCAAACUGACACAUCUCAACAAUCUUGAAGGAUUUGUGGUCGGUGAUGAUGGAGGCAAGCAAGACCAGGGGUGCAAUUUGGAGGAGCUGCAAUCUCUGUCCCAGCUGAGAGCGCUGAAGAUAGUUAGGUUAGAAAGGUCACGAGCAGGAGUUUCAACGCUUCAAAACAGCUGCUUUCUUAGAAGAUUGUUUUUGAGGUGGCUGCCACCCGAAGCUGAGAACAAUCAGCCACGAUGUGGAGAGGAUGCAGUCCAAAAUGUGAACAAGAUAUGCAACGAUCUCUCUCCUCCAUCCAGCCUAGAAGAGCUUAGGUUGGAUAACUUCUUUGGUAGUGGGUUUCCGGGCUGGUUGAUGUCAUCCUCAUUGGGCGCCUGCUUUCCUCACCUGGCAUUCUUGGCCCUUAUUGAUUGUAAAUCAUGUCCGAAACUUCCUCCACUAGGCCUAUUGCCCCAGCUAAAAUUCCUUCGGAUUUCAGGGGCAGACGCAAUCGUAACGAUCGGACCCGAGCUUCUUGGUCGCCGUUCCUCAGCAAUAACUGCAUUUCCUAGGCUUGAAUUCUUGGUGCUCACACACAUGCGCAACUGGAAAGAAUGGUCAUUUGGCGUGGUGGAAGAGAUUGGCGAUGAAAUAAGAGGAGCCUCUAAGCUGCUGCCGCAUCUCAAGGCCCUGCAUCUACAGGACUGCCCCGAGCUAAUAGCUCUUCCAGAAGGUCUGGCGCAUGCCACCAACUUGCAGCGCUUGCAAAUUCUGGACGCCCACAACCUGAGAGAAAUCAAGAACCUCCCCUCCUUAACUGAUACGCUCCACAUCGAGAGAAACCUGAGGUUGGAAAGAGUAUCCAACUUUCCCUCGCUGAAAUCUUUGCAAAUACUGAAUUGUUCGAGGUUACAACACGUGGAGAAUCUUGCUAAGUUGCAAUUCCUGUGCCUGGAACAUCCUUCUACAGCACAGGGGACCUCAGAGAUAUCAGUGCAAGAAACGGAGUGCCUCGCAUCGCAGACGUUUCCAGUAAUCUUGAUCAACAAACAAAGCACCUCCCACAGUGGUUACCGAACCUACUCGGGCAGCAUCAAAAUGCUCCGACUGGGAUGCAGAAACUUAGAAUAUUUGGACUGAAAUGCAGCUCACCACUGUUUGAGAGCUUCCUUAAGGAUCCGCCAAAUUGGCCCAUCAUUCAGUGGAUCCCUGAGGUCUGGAUCCACCACAUAGGUGGUUCUUCAUGGAUACGGUAUACCAAGGGACCCCCUUCCACCGUUCAAACCAACGUGCAACCAAAAGAGUUGACGAGUGACCUCUCUUGAGCAAGGUGAUUGAUACUUCCAUUACGUUUACAUUUCCCUCAUUAAUUUGUUUAUCACCAUUAGACCAGCUGCCAUAUAUAGAUGCCGUUAAUCUCAUAUAUAUUAAUUUUCUCUAUUCCCAGAUACAAUUUCGUGCGGAUUUAGCAGUUGGGAUGGACGUGCUCAGUGUUUUUACCUUUUUUUCGUCAUGUAAACUUUGUAUUGGACUUGGAUAUCUACUCUGUACUUUCUGUUUCUGUGUUUUGAUGGUAUUAUAUCAUUAUCCUGAAUGUAACCUUAAGAAUUCAUAUGCAAUAAAUCAUGAUUUCAUUCACCCUCUCCAUCUUUUCUAUUUAUUUUUCCUUCUAUAUCUUUUUUUUUGUUUUAAAAGGAUCCUUCUCGAUCGAUCUUGGAGAUAAACUUCUAUUGUUUGAUCUCGGUACUUCUUUUAUGAUACUUUUGCGAUUAAAGAUUGGUCAGAUGUAUAAAAACCUAUGAUCAUAGUGGCUUAUAUUUGAUUGAGCAUCUACUUUUUUUGAAAAAGUUGUGUGAAAUAUCUUUUAUACUCUUAAGGAUAGUUCUUGAGAAAGAAAAGAUCUCAAUUUUCGAAUGGUAGAAAAGUAGCUUUUCCAGGCCACUCUUGAGUUUUUCAUUUUUAUGAAAGAUGAGAAUCUUAUUUUCAGAGGAAUACUACUCUUUUUUUUUUGAAAACUUCAACUAAAUAAGUGGCUUUUCUUCGUUUUUCGUAGACCACAUUUUUCAUCUUUCUUUCCCUGCGAACCAAACGAGUCCUUCCCUAUUAUAUUUUGAUCCAAAUAUUAUAAUGAUUAAUGUAAUAACUAUAAAUUUGGUCUUAUAAAUAGCCUCUUGACGGGCUUUGAAAAAUCCUUUUAGGAAGAAGCUCUAAAUUAGAGCUUUUGCCAAGUAGAGAUUUUUUAACUUCUAGGAAGAUUAAAAAAUUGUUUCGGGGUUUUUACCAAAUACACAUAUAUAGGCUAGAAGUACUUUUCGGGCUUCCCUUCAAAAGAUAUUCCGAAGGAGGACUUAGCAUCAAGGAAGAAAUUGUUGCUCACAAUGGGACUCUUACUUCGAAUUUCUUUGUUUUGUGCUAAAAUGACACCUUCUAAGCCACCUAAAUUGCCUACUUGAUCAUCUAGAUUGCCAAAGUGUUCUAUGACAAGAAUAUAGGUGCCUGAUAUUCCAAGGUGGCAAUCCAUGAUUUUGACCAUCAACCCAACUUGCAACAACUAUCCUAAAUUAACCAGAUUCAAAUUUUAUAAAAAUAAGUUCGGAUCGUAAAUAUGUUAGUCUGACUUGACCCAUUUAUUAAAAAGGCUAGUUUUAGAUUCAGAGUCCGAAACCAUUUAAAUAUUGAUCCAUCUAAUAGUUGCCUCAAGUUAAUAUAAUUACAAUCUGACCCAUUUAAGAAUCAUUUAUUUGAUUUAUUUAUUCAGUGGGUUAGGAAGGCAACGAUGUGUUACCUAUGUAAUAAAUAGGUUGGAUUAUGUUAUGGAUUUUUGGCUUGUCUAAGAAAUAGGUGGGGCUCGUAUUAACAUAUUUUUAGUCCCACUAGUAUUUGAUCCAUAUUUGAUCCAAUCCUUUAAUUUACUUCUAUAAAUAAUUUAAGAAUAAAGGGUAUAUUUGCCAUUAUAGAAUUUCAUAUACUAUAAAAGUACGACAUGGCAAUGUAUGACCAUCAUUGGACCUAUUAGAUUUGCUUCUAAUUUUUUCAUUUCCAAAGUGUGAUUUUAGUGGUGGGAUGGAUAUAAUCACAAACAUAACCUUUCAUUCUAUAUAGUUUUUAAAAAACUUUAUUUUAUUUUUUCUUUUCCGACUAGGAGUCUAAGCAACCACUCUGCCGUGAAAACUUAAAAAAUUGACUCAUUUAGUAAGAUGAGCAUCUUUAGUAUUUUUUUUGUAUAAUAUUGUGGAUCCUCUUAUAUUUACAAAAACAAAAUACUCAAGAAGGCUGUAAAUCCAGAAUUUGGUUAGACCCAAAAUGCCAACUUUUCUCUUUUAAAACCAUUUUUGGGAGCAUUUUAGAGACAACAUUUUUCUUAUAAUAAAAAUUUUAGAAGCAUGUUUGCACGAUAGAGCUACAUAUUCCAUCAGUUUGGUUAGGAGAGUCUCAUUUGCAAUCUGAUUUUUAAAAAAAAAUUGAAAAUAUACGCAUCCUUCAAAAUUUAAUUCUGACACUUAAAAAAAUACAAAUCUAAUCCCAUCAUAAAAAAUAUUUUUUAAAUAUAUUUAUAUAAUUAAUUAAUUUUUCACAUUUCUCUUCUAAGAAUCCAAAUCUAUUUAAAUCCACGAUCAAUCUAUAGUCAGUCUCAAUGGGUCAUGCUGCAAGACCUCACCCAAAAAGACUAGCCAAAAGAUAUCAUUUAGACUUUUGACUAGCCUUUUUGGGUAAAGUAGCGGUUGGGACAAAUGGUAUUAGAGCUGACCUGGCCUAUGAUCUAUGUGGACUAGAGGAUACUACAGUACGGGUUCAUGGAGGUUGAUUAUGGAUCGAUCGUGGUGUUUGUGAUUAGAUUUGAAUGAAUUUGAACCUUCAACCUAGCAAGAAUGUGAUAGCUAAGGCUGCAAAUGGAUCGGGUCGACCUGUGACCCGACCCGACCUGAAAGCUCUAAGGGGAGUAGGAAGGAUAGCAACAGGCAUAGGUUCCCAGAAUCCAAUGGAACCUCGGCCCGUCAGGAUUCUCUCUCGAUCUAUUACACUAUUGAUGCCUCUGUCUCGGUAGCUUGGUUUUUUUUUUUCCUUCUGUUUUUUGGUUUUUAUUUCUUUUAACUUUUGAAGGGAGAAAGUGAGGGAACGCUGAACUGAAUAUGGGUCAUGUGCCAGUUUUCUGCAAUGGAAUUGGAUUUUGGAAGAAGGUCUCGGAUUUUUUUUGCCCUCGUGAGAGGGGAGCUGGGAGACACCAAGUUCCGUCCAAUCAGUCAUAUAGAUAAAAAAUAGUGUGAUAUGAAAUUUGGCUUGUAGACCGACUUAGUUAGCACGUCACGGGUCAUCCAUUCUGACUGGAGGUCAAUUGCAAGUCCUUCAAGCCAUGGGUCACCCAGCACCUUAUAACUAUGAUAUGACCAAAUUAGAUUUGCCUAAAUUCUUUUCGAAAAGCGCAAAAAAAAUGGAUCCGAUUUGGACCCGGACCCGAUUCGGACCUGACUCGGAUCCGACCCGAUCUUCAACCGGGUCAGAUCUGGAACCAAAAUUAGGAUCCGAAAAAAAAACUCGGAUUGGCUCAGGGUCACUUAGGACCCGACCCGACUCAUUUGCAUCCCUAGUGAUAGUUUAAAACAGAAGGAGUAUGUAAGGACUCAUAUAAGCAUGUGUUUAGUUCUACAUCGGUUAUUCGUUGGAUAGAUCUUAGUUACUUAUACAAAAUCAAGGAACUCAAAUGAUACCUUCUAGCUAGUCUUUUUGGAUGAGAAUCUGGAUUGUGACAAAUAAUAUCAGAGCGGACCUGGCCCAUAGUCCAUACGGACUAGAGGCUCUAUAGCACAGGCUCUUUGAGGCUGACCACAGGCCGAUCGUGGUACUUGUGAUUAGAUUUGAUUUAAUUUGGACCCUUAGCCGAAGAGGACGUCAAGGCUUAAUGAGAAAAAUAUGUGAGAACUAAGAAACUCCAAAAAUACCUUUUAACUAGUCAUUUUGAGUGAGGACCUUGUUGUUAUAUAUUCCCCAUUAUAACGAAAAUAACAACUAAUAUUUGGCCAAUUGAAUUAUAAGUUAAAUUACUGGUUAUAAAAUAAUGGACGGCAUGAUAGCUGUAAUUAGCUAUUAUAAUACAAAGUAGCUGAUGAUAACAGCUGAUUAACAAAUGGUGGUGCUAUGGCGUGAUGAUAACUAAUUAAAUAAAACCAAUACAGCCGACAAGGGGAAUCUGGUGCUGUAGAGUUGUCCUUUUCCUUCUUUUUUUAAUAAGCAAUGGUGGAAGAAGUAUUUAUCAAUAAAGUAGUUUUGCUUUAGGUCCCUUUCCUUUCUUCUAACAAGCGUCUUUACUUUCUUUUUCUGUGGCGAUUCCGUUCACCUUGUUUAUACAUAGGCUUUCAAGGAUCCAUGGUGCCACACAGUUUCCAAUUCUCUUCCCUUAUCAAAAGAUGGCAAUGAUCUUAGAUGCUUUUGUGGCACGAUACAUGAAGAAACUCGCAGAUUUCGUAGAGGGUGAGGUGUCAGUCAUGCUCGGAGUGAAGGAUGAGCUCCAGAAGCUUCAGAGAAGACUGGAAAGGAUGAGAGGUUUUCUUGAGCAAGCAGAGCGGAAGAGGCAUGAAGACACAAACAUCAGUAAUUGGGUGAGGGAGUUGAAAGAUAUCAUGUAUGAUGCGGAUGAUAUCAUCGACCUUUGUAUCAUCGAAGGCGGCAAAUUAUUGGAAAGCCAACAGCCCGUUUCUGCGGUAUGCCAUCCCUUCCCUUUAUUUUCUUGCUUCGGUUGUA
RNAcentral lists this long non-coding RNA (7782 nucleotides) under Phoenix dactylifera (date palm). RNAcentral describes it as "long non-coding RNA (PDAC_LNC001152)". The record is from RNAcentral. Lineage: Eukaryota; Viridiplantae; Streptophyta; Magnoliopsida; Arecales; Arecaceae.